Non-coding RNA from Macaca mulatta (Rhesus monkey), 10927 nucleotides. NCBI's taxonomy places the organism in Eukaryota, Metazoa, Chordata, Mammalia, Primates, Cercopithecidae. The record is from RefSeq and is a predicted model, not a curated record.
GCCCCUCCUUCCUGGAGCCACAGCUGAGGCAGCGGCGGUGGCAGCAGCGGCGGCAGCAGCCGGGCUGGGGGCGGCGAGUGGCCCGCGCGACACGCGCCGGCCUCGACCCUAUGCUUUGAUUCGCGUGGCGCAGGCGCCUACUGCCCCGCCGGCGGGGCCCGGGCUUCCUGCCGCGGGAUGUUCUCCCGAAGGAGCCACGGGGAUGUGAAGAAGUCCACCCAGAAGGUGCUGGACCCGAAGAAGGACGUGCUGACCCGCCUGAAGCACCUGCGGGCGCUGCUGGAUAAUGUGGAUGCAAGUGAUCUUAAGCAGUUUUUUGAGACCAACUAUUCUCAGAUAUAUUUCAUCUUCUAUGAAAAUUUUAUAACACUGGAAAAUAGUUUGAAAUUAAAAGGGAAUAAUAAGUCACAAAGGGAGGAGCUGGACUCCAUCCUCUUCCUUUUUGAAAAAAUACUGCAGUUUCUACCUGAACGAAUUUUCUUUCGAUGGCAUUACCAGAGUAUAGGCUCAACUUUAAAGAAGCUUCUACACACUGGAAAUUCUACUAAGAUAAGAUGUGAAGGAAUCAGGCUGUUUCUUCUGUGGCUUCAAGCACUUCAGACAAACUGUGCAGAAGAGCAGGUGCUGAUUUUUGCUUGCCUGGUGCCUGGUUUCCCAGCAGUCAUGUCAUCCAGGGGCCCUUGCACACUGGAGACACUCAUCAAUCCCAGCCCUAGUGUAGCUGAUGUAAAGAUAUAUCCAGAAGAAAUCACUCCACUCCUGCCAGCCAUAUCGGGGGAGAAGAUUGCUGAGGACCAAACCUGCUUUUUUCUUCAAAUACUGUUGAAGUAUAUGGUUAUUCAGGCUGCAAGCUUGGAGUGGAAGAAUAAGGAGAAUCAAGAUACUGGUUUUAAAUUUCUUUUUACAUUGUUUCGAAAGUAUUAUCUUCCUCAUUUAUUUCCAUCAUUUACUAAGUUAACAAACAUCUACAAACCUGUACUUGACAUCCCCCAUUUGAGACCAAAGCCAGUGUACAUUACUACAACUCGAGACAAUGAGAACAUUUACAGUACAAAAAUUCCGUAUAUGGCAGCUCGUGUUGUUUUUAUUAAGUGGAUUGUAACCUUCUUUUUGGAAAAAAAGUAUCUAACUGCAACACAGAACACUAAAAAUGGAGUUGAUGUAUUGCCUAAAAUCAUCCAGACUGUUGGUGGUGGUGCUGUGCAGGAGAGAGCGCCUGAGCUGGAUGGUGGUGGGCCCAUGGAGCCAGACAAAAGCCAUUCUAACAGCAGCACCCUGUCGGACCGAAGACUCAGUAACUCCAGCCUCUGUAGCAUUGAGGAAGAGCACCGAAUGGUGUAUGAAAUGGUACAGCGGAUUCUCUUGUCAACACGAGGUUAUGUCAACUUCGUGAAUGAAGUAUUUCACCAGGCAUUUUUGUUGCCUUCCUGUGAGAUAGCUGUAACAAGAAAAGUAGUUCAAGUGUACAGAAAGUGGAUCCUCCAGGACAAACCUGUGUUCAUGGAGGAGCCAGAUAGAAAAGAUGUUGCCCAAGAAGAUGCUGAAAAAUUAGGAUUUUCUGAGACUGAUAGCAAGGAGGCCUCGUCUGAAAGUUCUGGUCAUAAACGAUCUUCCAGUUGGGGACGCACGUACUCCUUCACAAGUGCAAUGAGCAGAGGGUGUGUGACAGAGGAGGAAAAUACAAAUGUGAAAGCUGGCGUCCAGGCUUUGUUGCAGGUAUUUUUGACGAACUCUGCAAACGUCUUUUUGUUGGAACCAUGUGCUGAAGUUCCUGUGCUCUUGAAAGAACAAGUUGAUGCUUGUAAAGCUGUUUUGAUUAUUUUUAGGCGCAUGAUAAUGGAGCUUACAAUGAAUAAAAAGACAUGGGAACAGAUGUUGCAAAUACUACUCAGGAUAACAGAAGCUGUCAUGCAGAAGCCAAAGGAUAAACAAAUAAAGGACUUGUUUGCCCAGAGCUUGGCAGGGUUACUAUUUAGGACGCUCAUGGUGGCUUGGAUCCGAGCAAACCUCUGUGUGUACAUUUCUCGAGAGCUCUGGGAUGACUUUCUUGGUGUGCUGUCCUCCCUCACGGAAUGGGAGGAACUUAUAAACGAGUGGGCCAACAUUAUGGACUCCUUGACAGCAGUGCUUGCAAGAACCGUUUAUGGAGUUGAGAUGACAAACCUACCUCUGGAUAAAUUAAGUGAACAAAAGGAAAAGAAGCAACGAGGCAAAGGCUGUGUUCUAGAUCCUCAGAAAGGAACCACUGUGGGGAGAUCCUUUUCUCUCAGCUGGCGGAGCCACCCAGAUGUGACCGAACCGAUGCGAUUUAGGAGUGCCACCACGUCUGGAGCACCGGGAGUGGAAAAGGCGAGAAAUAUUGUUCGCCAAAAAGCAACUGCUAAGCGAAGCCAGUCUAUCAGCAACUGUGUCCACCUUUCUGAGGCUUUGCCUGCCACUAAAAGCGUCCCGCUCCUCCUUCACACCGUGAGCGCUCUCUUACCUGGUCUCUCUUACUCUUCUUGCUCUCACAGGCUGUCAGAAGUAGAGGAGUGUCAACAGUCAGAAAAUGCAUCUGCAGCCGGAUCUGUCUAUCUCACGGUGGGACAGCAGCAGCAGGUCCUUCGGAGCAGUAGCACCUCCGACAUCCCUGAGCCGCUGUGCUCAGAUUCUUCUCAGGGUCAAAAGGCAGAAAACACACAGAAUUUGAGUUCUUCAGAGCCUCAGCCUAUUCAAGAGAAUAAAGGACAUGUGAAGAGAGAACAUGAAGGAAUAACAAUUUUAGUUCGAAGAAGCAGCAGCCCUGCUGAAUUGGAUUUGAAAGAUGAUUUGCAGCAGACACAAGGAAAAUGUAGGGAAAGACAGAAGAGUGAAAGUACCAACAGUGACACAGCUCUGGGCUGUAUCAAUGAGGCGGAGCUGUCCAUGGGCCCAUGGCAGACCUGUGAGGAAGACCCAGAGCUGAAUACUCCCACAGAUGUUGUGGCUGAUGCGGAUGCUCGUCAUUGGUUACAACUGAGUCCCACUGAUGCUUCGAAUUUAACAGAUAGCAGUGAGUGCCUCGCAGAUGACUGUAGUAUAAUCGCCGGGGGGAGCCUCACUGGUUGGCACCCAGACUCUGCUGCUGUGUUGUGGCGAAGGGUCUUGGGGAUCCUUGGAGAUGUGAAUAACAUCCAGUCACCCAAGAUCCAUGCCAGAGUUUUCUGCUAUCUCUAUGAACUCUGGUACAAACUAGCAAAGAUACGGGAUAAUCUAGCAAUAAGCCUGGAUAACCAGUCUUCUCCAUCUCCUCCAGUUUUGAUCCCACCUCUCAGAAUGUUUGCAUCAUGGCUAUUUAAGGCGGCGACACUGCCAAAUGAAUAUAAGGAAGGCAAACUGCAAGCCUACAGGCUGAUCUGUGCCAUGAUGACCAGACGCCAGGACGUUCUGCCAAACUCAGAUUUCCUGGUGCAUUUUUAUCUUGUGAUGCACCUGGGAUUAACCAGCGAGGAUCAGGAUAUCUUAAACACCAUCAUAAGGCACUGUCCACCCCGCUUUUUCUCCCUGGGUUUUCCUGGCUUCUCAAUGCUGGUGGGGGACUUCAUCACAGCCGCUGCCAGGGUCCUUAGCACAGACAUGUUGACGGCGCCUCGUUCAGAGGCUGUCACUGUCCUUGGCUCUCUGGUCUGCUUUCCAAAUACCUACCAGGAGAUUCCUUUACUGCAGUCAGUGCCAGAAGUAAAUGAGGCCAUUACAGGAACUGAAGAUGUCAAGCAUUACCUCAUAAAUAUUUUACUGAAGAAUGCCACAGAAGAACCAAAUGAAUAUGCAAGAUGCAUUGCUGUUUGCUCCCUUGGGGUCUGGAUAUGUGAAGAGCUUGCACAGUGUACAAGCCACCCUCAGGUGAAAGAGGCCAUCAAUGUGAUAGGAGUAACUCUGAAGUUUCCCAACAAAAUCGUGGCCCAGGUAGCUUGCGAUGUGCUUCAGUUGCUGGUUUCCUACUGGGAGAAACUUCAGAUGUUUGAAACCUCUCUGCCUCGGAAAAUGGCAGAAAUCCUUGUGGCCACAAUUGCUUUUCUUUUACCAAGUGCAGAGUACUCCUCAGUGGAAACAGACAAGAAGUUUAUUGUGUCCUUGCUACUCUGCCUCUUGGACUGGUGCAUGGCAUUGCCCGUGAGUGUCCUUCUCCACCCCGUGUCCACGGCAGUCCUAGAGGAGCAGCAUUCGGCCAGAGCCCCCUUGCUGGAUUAUAUCUACAGGGUUCUGCACUGCUGUGUGUGUGGCUCAAGCACGUACACCCAACAGAGUCACUACACACUGACCCUAGCUGACUUGUCAUCCACGGAUUAUGACCCCUUCCUGCCACUGGCAAAUGUGAAGAGCUCUGAGCCAGUCCAGUAUCAUUCAUCAGCGGAACUGGGUAACCUGCUGACUGUUGAAGAGGAGAAGAAGAGAAGAAGUUUGGAGUUGAUCCCCUUGACUGCUCGAAUGGUGAUGGCCCACCUGGUGAACCACCUGGGGCACUACCCCCUCAGUGGGGGCCCUGCCAUACUGCACAGCCUUGUCAGUGAGAACCACGACAAUGCCCAUGUGGAAGGCUCUGAGCUGUCCUCUGAGGUGUUCAGAAGCCCAAACCUGCAGCUGUUUGUAUUUAACGAUAGCACCCUCAUCUCCUACCUUCAGACACCCACAGAAGGACUGGCAGGAGGAUCACCAGUGGGCUGUCUCUCUGAUGUGAGAGUAAUUGUGAGGGAUAUCUCAGGGAAGUACUCUUGGGAUGGUAAGGUUUUAUAUGGACCUUUGGAAGGCUGCUUAGCACCCAAUGGAAGAAAUCCUUCAUUUCUGGUUUCAAGCUGGCAUCAUGACACAUUUGGACCUCAGAAAGACUCUUCUCAAGUUGAGGAGGGGGAUGAUGUUCUUGACAAAUUACUUGAAAACAUUGGCCAUACAAGUCCUGAAUGCCUUUUACCAUCACAGCUAAAUCUAAAUGAACCUUCCCUACCCCCAUGUGGCAUGAACUAUGACCAAGAGAAGGAAAUUAUCGAGGUCAUUUUGCGCCAAAAUGCUCAGGAGGAUGAGUAUAUCCAGAGUCAUAACUUCGAUUCUGCAAUGAAAGUCACCAGCCAAGGGCAGCCCUCCCCAGUGGAGCCCCAAGGACCCUUUUAUUUCUGCAGGUUAUUGCUUGAUGACUUGGGAAUGAAUUCUUGGGACAGAAGGAAGAAUUUUCAUCUGUUGAAGAAAAAUUCAAAAUUAUUGAGAGAGCUAAAAAAUUUGGACUCCCGCCAGUGCCGUGAGACACACAAAAUCGCAGUGUUUUACAUUGCUGAAGGUCAAGAAGACAAGUGUUCAAUCCUCUCUAACGAAAGAGGAAGCCAAGCAUAUGAAGACUUUGUUGCUGGACUUGGAUGGGAGGUGGAUCUCUCCACCCACUGUGGGUUCAUGGGUGGCCUUCAGCGCAAUGGCAGCACCGGGCAGACAGCCCCUUACUAUGCUACCUCGACUGUGGAAGUGAUUUUCCACGUUUCCACUCGAAUGCCAUCAGACUCAGAUGAUUCCCUCACCAAAAAGCUUCGUCACUUGGGGAAUGACGAGGUCCAUAUUGUCUGGUCUGAACACUCCAGAGACUACCGCAGGGGUAUUAUCCCAACCGCCUUUGGAGAUGUUUCAAUCAUUAUUUACCCAAUGAAGAAUCACAUGUUCUUCAUCGCGAUAACGAAGAAACCUGAGGUUCCAUUUUUUGGGCCUCUGUUCGAUGGAGCCAUAGUGAGUGGGAAGCUGCUGCCAAGCCUUGUAUGUGCCACGUGCAUCAACGCCAGCAGGGCUGUGAAGUGCCUCAUCCCACUCUACCAGAGCUUCUAUGAAGAGCGAGCUCUGUAUCUCGAAGCAAUAAUUCAGAACCACCGCGAAGUCAUGACAUUCGAGGAUUUCGCAGCCCAAGUCUUUUCUCCCUCUCCCAGCUACUCCCUCAGCGGAACGGAACUGCCUUAAAGAUUGUGUCUGGAUCUAAAAAUCUUGGAGGAAUCCACUUGUGUCUGCUGAUAAAUCAAUCCCCAGAUCACUAUUUCAGUCACAGCUAGCAAUCUGGUAGCCAAGGGCUACAGUCUCUUAGUGAAAGUGGGCCACUGACAAGAAAUCUGAUAAGAAGCCGGUGUGGAGAAAGGCAGGGGAAGUCAGGAGCCGGCGAAUCCAUAGACGGAGUAACUGAAACUUGAUUCAAGGUGCUUUCGCAGAUGGUCUCAAGGGUCUUAAAGGGAAUUAUCGAUUACCCUGUUUAGCACCAUUUUAGGCUUCGUGCUGCUUCAUCCCUUUGUUCCUUUAAAACUUUUUUACUCUCCUCGGAGUCAGCUCUGGAAGAGAUGAGACAAGCAUUCUUUUCAUUUGCUUGGCUAGAAAAGCGCCACUGCUACCUGUCAGAUGUUACCAUCUCUGACGUGGUCCCUGUUGCCCCUGGAGGCUGCCACUGAGCAGGACUGUGCAGGGCACUUCAGGCAACACAAAGUAAAGCUCUGGGAACCUCUUGCAGGCCUGUAUCUCUCCUUCCCUUGUGAAGCUUGAAGUCUUAUUGGAGAAAAGCAGAUACUCAUGAGCCACAAGAAAUGGCUAUUAAUAAGCCCAGAUAAGUUUCCUCCAAACUAUAACCUGUGUCAAAAAGAUAACCAGCCAGUGGUUUAGGCCAGUUGGGUUGAGAUUUCCCUGAGAUGAACCAUGCCAUUUGCCUUGUGAACUUGAGGAGAAUGAAAACUUGCCUCGUGUGUGUUAGCUAUUCUACUAAGCAUCCUGCCAGCCGGUUUGGAACUUCCCCACAUUGCCUAAUGUCUGAGAACUGGAAGGCCCAUGGACAAAAAUAAAAAGAUAGAGGAUAGUAAAUGUGAGAAGAGCAGAGAGAAAGAAACCACAUGUUUCAGAGCCACUGCGGGGACAGUGACAACUCCUGACAACCCUGGGGCUGAUGCUGGGGCUAUUCAUAGGUUCCCAGAAUAAGAAGUGGCCUGAGAUCAUUCAUUUUGAAGUGUCGACCUUGCACUGAAUCUGUUCCUUUGGCGGAACUCUGAAGGUGCAGCUUUUUCUGUGAAAUGCUGCGUUGGGUUCUGGGUUCCCAAUCCUUACAGGGUUUUAAGUGCAGGUGGCAUCUUCCUCCUGCCUGACUGCUAAUUACAGCUCAGGGGAUGCUUUAGCAGUUGCCAAGAGAUGGCUGGCAGGUACCAGGAAUUUUUCUCAGAGACAAUUUUUGGAAAUAACUCUUAAUUAAAGCUUGUUUGAAAUAACCUUGAGAAUUUGUUUCAGAAGAACCUGGAGCUCCCGACACCCCAGGUUCACAUUCCUUGUGAACCGUGACUGUGGCCCUCAAGUCCUCCUGGCUCAGCAGGUGGUGCAUGCACAACCUCAGCUGCUGAGGGGCCUCCUAGAAGACUCUGGUUUUGCUCAAAUUCCUGUCCAGCAACAGCCAAACCAAAGCAGAGGCCAAAUGGAGCCUCUCUUAUUUGCAGUUAAGUCUUCUGACAGAAAGAAGAAAGAAUAUUUUAUACUGUCCUUUUCCAGGAAGAUAUAGGAUAAUAACAGGAACUAAACCUGUCAGUAGCACAGGUUUUCUCUAUAGAGAAAAGCCGGUUCCUUUUUGCCCAUUAGCCUUUAAAGUCCCUCAAAACAGCUGAAGGAAUAAAAUCCCUUAAAAAUGGAAACAUGCCCAUCCAUUUUGAAAUAAAUAACUUUAUGUAUUUACAACGUUGAUGUGGCCAAAUUCUCAGUACACAAGCAACCUAGUAGCAUCACCGUGGACAAUGCCGAGAAAGAGUAGGGAAAACCCUGUUUUGUGACCACUUCAAGAAUAUAAGACAAUAGAAUCCAGAUGCAUGGAGGACGUGUUCCACCUACCUGUGCCCCCACGCAGAGGCUCCUCUGGCCUUUCCCGCAGCACUCAGCUGUGACCUGUGGUGGGAACCAGUGGCCUUCACCAUUCCAGCAUCUGUCUUCUCCUGUGUGGGACUGUGUGAUCUAUGAGAUUGCCUGAGGAUAAGGAAAAGCAAUCAUGGGUCUGGCUUGGAAAGGUUCCACUCCCCCAUACCCCUAAUCUCAGGCAAAACAGGAAGUGCGCACACCUUGCCUUGCCAUUGCUGCUGAAUGUGUUUGGGCAGACCCUGCAGUCAGCGUGCAUCCCAGAGCCCAUGCGCUGUCAUUAGGGAAGCCCUGCUUCCUAGCUACAUCCCUAGGGUGCAGAGAAGCAGCUGGAGAAACAGUGAGACUCCAGUUAGCACCACAGCCUCCAGGUAACAUCUGGGCAUGCAGCUUUGUGAGGCCAGGCGCUCUGGACCGGGGUGACAGUCACUGACCCAACAGCAUCACACAUGAGAGCCCCAGAGGAAAUCAGUCUCCACGGAGAAGGAAGGAGGAGACCAGAAGUGGAAAUCUGCAGCCCGCUAGGCUGACUCUGCUCUUUCUCCCACUUACCCAAAGCUAGCAACUUGCUCAAGGCCAAAUUGAGAUAUUAAACCUCAGGUCCACUCAAGACCUGGGGACACAGAGGGACACACCUUUGCUACAAUUUCAGUAGAUGCGAACUGCAGCUUCACUCCUCAGAGCGUCUCAUAAAGCCCACAAAAGUGGGUUUUCUCAUAAAGCCCAUAAAUGUUUACCAAACAUUGAAUAUGCCAGUUGCAGAGAUGGGCAAGACAGACAGCAGCCCUUCCUCCACUGGAGGCUCACCUUCCAGACUGGCGAGUAGACAAUGGUGUCUGCUCUCAGGAGCUGAAGAGUGCUGAGGAGAAAAGACAACAGGGAAAGAGCCUCGGGAAUGCUACUGAGAAAAACCCAACACACCUGGGGUGGGGGUGCACUUUAAAAUAGGGGGUCAGAGAAGGCCUCCCUGGAAAGGCGGCAUGUGAGAAAUGAUGAGGAGGGAGGGGCAGGAAAGAGCAGGUGGAAGGGCCUGAGGCAGGGACUUUCCCGGCACAAUCAAGGAACAAGGAGCCCAGCCUACUUAGAGCUGAGCAAGCCCGGGUGGGCAGGAGGAACAGGGAGGUCAGAGUGGCCUUGCGGGCAGAGGACAAGACCUUGGCUCUUGCUCUGGUGAGUUGGGCAGCACACAAAGCCUGUGAAGCAGCAGAGUGCUAUGAUAUGACUCUUCUACAAAGGGCAGUCAGGCUUCAGUGCGGAGGAUGCACUGUGGGGAGGGGGGACAACUUCCAUGACAGUUUACUCGCCAUGUAUUCCCAUCUCCAGACACGCAACAGGCAUGUCAUACGUGUCUGGUGCAUGAACGGAUGUUAUGCUCAUACAAGAGGUGUUCUGCCUGAACAUUCCCUGGGGGACACUAGAGGGGCCCUCAGCGGUGCCCCCUCACUCCAGCACCACAGAACACAGCCACUAUCCUGGAUUGCCCAGACAGGCAGAACGUGGAGCUCAGCCACAUGUCCCACCCUGCCCUCAAGACCCUGCAGACCCCUGUGAGUUCCAGUGCUCGUGAGUACGGGUGUGCAUGAAGAAUCGCGCAGAUGGCCACCCCCGCUACACAGAGAGUGACUUCAAGAAACUUUAAACACCUCAGUGACACAGAAGGGCAAGGAUGGGAGGCCAAGGCUCCCUAGCUUUUUUUACUCUUACAAAAAUGGUCUCCAGGACUCUGUGAACUGUAACCAUUCUUUAUGUAUGUGUAGAGAUGUGCAAUUUACUGCACGCUUUCCGCAGAGUCCCCCGCCCAUGGGGCAAGAUUGCUCUGACAGUUGAGGAAUGGAGGCAGGCUGGUUUUUCCAUCACCAGGUGGCUGUUCAUGUCCUGACCAGGGCUCGAGCACUUAGGCCUCUUAGUUCUCAGACAGGACUCAUUGCUCCACCCUACAGCCCCCUUGCGUCUCCGUGCCUGCUGUGGGGGACCCACCCACAGGAAUGAACAACCCAGUGGCGGGGAGGAGCCCUUCUUCGGUGGCAGUGGCAAAAUGUUCCUCCCUGAAGGCAGAAAGGACUGUUUUCUAGAAUGUGUAACCUGUAUAGUUUUUACAGUGGCAAAGGCACACCCACUUUGGCACAGAUAACUGAGAAAUUUAACUAAAGGGUUGCCUACUUUACAAUUCAAAAGGAGCACCAUAGAAAUAAUUCACAUAUAACAAGUAUCUUAAUUAUGGGCCAAAAUUCCUUUCUGAGGACAAGACAUUUUUUAUCAAUGAAACUACCAGACACGUCCAUUGCUUCUGCAGUGUUUCCUCAGACACCUCACAAAAAUACCUAGAACUCACUGUCCUCCCACAAUCACCAUGGAUGUAACUGCUACAUUUUCUUGAGCUGUUGAUUAUUAGGGAAAUUUUUAAAAUAUAGUCCUGAGUGGUGCACACACUCCCAGUGUAUCUUGGGACAAAUCACACGGUAAUCCCACCUCACUGCCGCAGUCACUCCUGAGUUGUUUUAAAACAGAUCAAUUCAAGUUAGAAUAAGCUUGGGAGACAACCUGGAAGGGAAAACAAGUCACUGAAAAGCAGUGUGCCAUCGGUGGGGUGGCCCUCUUUGCUUUGAGGGUGGUGUGAGGCACAGCAGGAGAGGUGCUGGUGGCAUCUGCAGAGCUUCAUAGCUGCCCUCGUUCCCCUGCUUGCCUGGGUGCCCCUGGGGGAUUUUCUUCCUGAAAUCUCAGAGCCAUUUCUGUUGUGUCACUUUUGGAAUCAUGGGAAUAGUAGUGCCACCCAGACCACCUUCUAUUCUAUUUUGCCAUUUUAAAAACCAGCUUGUUGAGAUCUAAUUCACAUAUCAUGCAGUUCAGCCAUAUGAAGUAUACAAGUCAGUGUCUUUGGUCUAUUCAUUAGGUUAUGCAACCAUUACCACAAUCAAAUUCUAUAAUAUUUCAUCCCCCUUUAAACAGCCUGCCGAUAGUCAAUCCCCCUUCUCCCCGCCCACCCCUCAACUCUAAACAACCACGAAUCCACUUUUUGUGUCUAUGGACCUGCCCAUUCUGGACAUUUCAUAUAAAUAAAAUCAUCCCAUAUGUGGUC